RNAcentral lists this ribosomal RNA (253 nucleotides) under uncultured bacterium. RNAcentral describes it as "partial 16S ribosomal RNA". It matches the Rfam family "Bacterial small subunit ribosomal RNA", at positions 524 to 776 of the family's 1533-position model. The record is from RNAcentral.
UACGAAGGGGGCUAGCGUUGCUCGGAAUUACUGGGCGUAAAGCGCACGUAGGCGGAUUGUUAAGUCGGGGGUGAAAUCCUGGAGCUCAACUCCAGAACUGCCUUCGAUACUGCGGGUCUCGAGUCCGGGAGAGGUGAGUGGAAUUCCUAGUGUAGAGGUGAAAUUCGUAGAUAUUAGGAAGAACACCAGUGGCGAAGGCGGCUCACUGGCCCGGUACUGACGCUGAGGCGCGAAAGCGUGGGGAGCAAACAGG